UCCUGGUAACUCAGUUGGUAAAAAGUCUGCCUGCAAUGCAGGAGACCCCUGGUUCAAUUCCUGGAUCAGGAA
Molecule: transfer RNA, 72 nt
Organism: Ovis aries (sheep)
Lineage: Eukaryota; Metazoa; Chordata; Mammalia; Artiodactyla; Bovidae
Rfam family: tRNA
About the family: Transfer RNA (tRNA) molecules are approximately 80 nucleotides in length. Their secondary structure includes four short double-helical elements and three loops (D, anti-codon, and T loops).
Source: Rfam